ACGAACGCUGGCGGCGUGCUUAACACAUGCAAGUCGCACGGAAAGGCCCUGCUUUUGUGGGGUGCUCGAGUGGCGAACGGGUGAGUAACACGUGAGUAACCUGCCCUUGACUUUGGGAUAACUUCAGGAAACUGGGGCUAAUACCGGAUAGGAGCUCCUGCUGCAUGGUGGGGGUUGGAAAGUUUCGGCGGUUGGGGAUGGACUCGCGGCUUAUCAGCUUGUUGGUGGGGUAGUGGCUUACCAAGGCUUUGACGGGUAGCCGGCCGGAGAGGGUGACCGGCCACAUUGGGACUGAGAUACGGCCCAGACUCCUACGGGAGGCAGCAGUGGGGAAUAUUGCACAAUGGGCGGAAGCCUGAUGCAGCAACGCCGCGUGCGGGAUGACGGCCUUCGGGUUGUAAACCGCUUUCGCCUGUGACGAAGCGUGAGUGACGGUAAUGGGUAAAGAAGCACCGGCUAACUACGUG
Molecule: ribosomal RNA, 467 nt
Filed under: uncultured bacterium
Lineage: Bacteria
Description: partial 16S ribosomal RNA
Rfam family: Bacterial small subunit ribosomal RNA
Source: RNAcentral